AUUGAACGCUGGCGGCAUGCUUUACACAUGCAAGUCGAACGGUAACAGGCCGCAAGGUGCUGACGAGUGGCGAACGGGUGCGUAAUGCAUCGGAACGUGCCCAGUCGUGUGGGAUAACUACUCGAAAGAGUAGCUAAUACCUCAUACGAUCUAUGAAUUAAAGCGGGGGACCGUAAGGCCUCGCGCGAUUUAAGCGGCCGAUGUCAGAUUAGGUAGUUGGUGGGGUAAAGGCUCACCAAGCCAACGAUCUGUAGCUGGUCUGAGAGGACGACCAGCCACACUGGGACUGGGACACGGCCCAGACUCCUACGGGAGGCAGCAGUGGGGAAUUUUGGACAAUGGGCGCAAGCCUGAUCCAGCAAUGCCGCGUGCAGGAAGAAGGCCUUCGGGUUGUAAACUGCUUUUGUACGGAACGAAACGGCUCUGGUUAAUACCCGGGGAUAAUGACGGUACCGUAAGAAUAAGCACCGGCUAACUACGUG
Molecule: ribosomal RNA, 482 nt
Filed under: uncultured bacterium
Lineage: Bacteria
Description: partial 16S ribosomal RNA
Rfam family: Bacterial small subunit ribosomal RNA
Source: RNAcentral